AUACACACUCUUCUUUAAGCUGCUAGGAUUUGCAGAAAAAUGGCUCAUCAUUAUCAGCUAUCCUCCCUCUUACUGCUUGCAUUUCUCAAUUUAUGCUUCAUGAAUGGCCACAUAACAUGUGUUACUGCACGCCGCCUUCUGGAGGCGCCCCUCCCUGAUAUUCCUAAACCAGAAUUUCCAAAAGUUCCAACCUUGCCAAAGCCUGAGAUCCCAACUGUGCCGAAGCCUGAGAUUCCAGCCAUACCAAAGCCUGAAAUUCCUGUUAUGCCAAAGCCUGAAGUACCAACUGUGCCGAAGCCUGAGCUGCCAACUGUCCCAAAGCCUGAGUUACCAACUUUACCAAAACCCGAGAUCCCAACUGUGCCAAAGCCCAAGCUUCCAGCUAUGCCAAAGCCUGAGAUCCCAGCAAUGCCAAAACCUGAGUUGACAAACGCACCAAAGCCUGAAAUCCCAAUGGUUCCAAAGCCCGAGAUUCCUACUAUGCCAAAGCCUGAGCUACCAGCUACUCCAAAACCUGAGUUACCAAAUUUCCCGAAGCCUGAGAUUCCAACAGUGCCAAAGCCUGAGAUUCCAGCCGUGCCAAAGCCGGAGAUACCAAAGUUGUCAAAGCCCGAGCUUCCUCGCCUAGAAAAGCCAGAGGUUCCAGCACUGCCAAAGACUGAGCUUCCUCCAGCUAUGACAAAGCCUGAUGUGCCGACUGUGCCAAAGCUCGAGCAACCAGUGGUGCCAAAACCUGAGAUUCCCACUGUGCCAAAACCAGAAAUCCCGGAGCUACCAAAGCCAAAAAUCCCUGAGUUACCUAAGCUAGAAGUUCCAGCUAUCCCAAAACCAAAAACCCCAGAAUUGCCUAAACAAACAAUUCCAACCUCCCCAAGCCUACCAAAGGAGAUACCAUUUCCUUCACUUUCUCCACCAUAUAAACCCGCUACUCCUUGAGUAAUUAUGUAUGGUACUGGUCAUUCUAUUAGAAGGUACAUGAGGUUUUGAGAUGUGCCACCUCAGUCUGUGAAGUUUGCUGCAUGGGUCAUGACAUGGAGUUAAUUUGACAGAACAUAUAUACUGGAUACUUUCUGCUAUGAUUAUUUAAUAUAUAAUUCAUUUGUCGUAUUUGAUCUAAAAUGUAUCUUGUUCCACGAGUCAUUAUGACUCUAUGAGUCUUAUAUGUAACUUUUAUUCCAUGUAUUAAAACUAUGAUUUUUGUGAUUUUCCGGAGUUAUUACUUUGAUAUAUUUCUUAUUCGUAGCCAUAUCUGAUUUUCAUCCUAAUGCACAUUGGAUUCGG
This 1281-nucleotide long non-coding RNA is filed under the name Nicotiana benthamiana. RNAcentral's name for it is "long non-coding RNA (NBEN_LNC024467)". The record is from RNAcentral. Lineage: Eukaryota; Viridiplantae; Streptophyta; Magnoliopsida; Solanales; Solanaceae.